RNAcentral lists this long non-coding RNA (903 nucleotides) under Manihot esculenta (cassava). Its description in RNAcentral is "long non-coding RNA (MESC_LNC002285)". The record is from RNAcentral. Lineage: Eukaryota; Viridiplantae; Streptophyta; Magnoliopsida; Malpighiales; Euphorbiaceae.
UACAUUCUAUCAUACACCAAACUCAACCUGUGCAUGCACUGAACUUAUACAUAAUCAUAAACUUGACCCCUCUGUGGGAUCUCAUCAAUGCCCCCAAUGGGGUGACAUAACAAGUGUUGAGUUGGCUAAACAUGGACAUCAAUAAACAUUAAGAUCAUGUAUCAAAAGGGAUUACAAUACACUAUGGUCAAGCACACUUCUAACCUCAAUAUCGUUACAUUACAUAUCUAUGCAUCAUUACACAAUUUGUCAUGUCCACAUUCUAACUAUUAUAUACAUAAGACUUCCUUACUCCUCUUGACUUCUCUGUCUAACCCGUACCUGCAAACCUGGGGAAAAUUUGGGAGAGGGGUGAGCUACUAGAGCCCAGUGAGCAGAAUAGUAAAGCAUUUAAAACAUAUGAUAACAUGAAAUGCAUCACAUCACAACUAAUCAUAUCAAGGAUGAACUUGUCACCAUUUAGCCCUCUAUAUAAUCCAAUCAUGCCAGGGGCGUAGUGCAGGCCACACCUGGUCUUUCUCUUAUACAUAACAUAACAUAACAUACAUAAUCCAUAGUGCCGGGGGCGUAGUGUAAGCCACGUCCGGUCUUUCUCUUACAUAGUGUCAGGGGCGUAGUGCAGGCCACACCUGGACUUCCAUACCAUAUCAUCAUAUCAUAACAUAUGAGGGCUAAUGGAUCAUUCAACAUUCAUCCACAUCAACAACAUAUUAUGCAAUGCAACAUAUUCGUGAUUUCUAAUGCAAGCAUCCUAAAAUAUCACAUGGCAUCCGUGGUGCAUGAACAUGCUCAACAUUGAUUUAUUUAUUUAUUUAAAAGCAUAAGAGUCAUUCCACUCACCUCUGGCUAGCUCUGACACUGACUGAAGCAGCUGACUCACUGCUGAGGUCCUCGGUUCCUCGG